CUUUCACCUGUGCGUCCAUAUAAGACUGUAAGUAGUUCUGUUAUCACAUAUUUAACAAUUCAUCAGGUUUAUUUAUUCACAGCAUUCUUCAUUAUCAAACUCUCCUUUUGCAGUACCCUCAGUUUUCUCUACAUGCUCCAUACAUUAAUAUUCGUAAUAUUUAUUGUUGUUUUAUACCGUGUUUAUAUGUCGUUAUUUAAGUUUCGCAUCGCUUUACAUGGAGCAUGCAGGCUCCACUUAGGGACCGACGUCAAUUUCCCAGACACUGCCUGCAGGAACGUGUCUGUGCGGCAGAGAAGUGACUGGCAUUUGUUAACACUCACUAAGUGCUAAAGAGUUAUUUCAGUGUUUUUUUUUCUCUGUUUUCCUGUUCAUUGUUACAUUUCUCUGUUUUCUAUCGUUUGACAUUUAUUUCAGGUUUAUACAGAGUGAUUAAUCAGUGUUACAUUAAUGUAUACAUAUCAUAUUUAUUCACCUUUUUUAUUUUAUUGCAGAAACCACACACAAACAACGAAGAGUGGAAAUUGGAAGAGAGUGUUUUCUGUUUGCCAUCAGUCAUUGUUCUGACCGGACUACCUGGUCUGACUGUAUUCAGUUCUAUUGAGGUCAGUAUGGAGUCGAGUUAAACCAUUGCCUCUCUUACAGCUGCCGUUAAGAGAAUCCUGCUGCAAAUCAUAGAGGUG
Non-coding RNA from Xyrichtys novacula (pearly razorfish), 683 nucleotides. NCBI's taxonomy places the organism in Eukaryota, Metazoa, Chordata, Actinopteri, Labriformes, Labridae. The record is from the annotation of a GenBank genome assembly.